AGGGGACCUACAGGUGCUAUGGCUCACAGAGCAGCUCCCCCUACCUGUUGUCACACCCCAGUGACCCCCUGGAGCUCCUGGUCUCAGCCUCGAGCAGCCAAGAUUACACAGUGGAGAAUCUCAUCCGAUUGGGGAUGUCUGCCUUAAUCCUCGUGGUUCUCGGGGUGCUGCUCUUUCAAGCUCGGCACAGAGAAGACCCCAAGAUACAGGCAGGACACAGACGUAAGAGAGAGAAGACGGACUUCUCAGUGAGGUAGAACUUUGAAAAUGAAAUUGAUGAUACCGAGAGUUUCUGGAAGAAAAUCUGGGCGUACGCUGGGGAAACAUUCUGCUGAGAAUAUUCUGGGUAUUAACGCAGUUUGGGUGCGUGGGUUUGGGCGCUGUAAUGGGGGCUCUUCUACAAUCAAACUGUGGUCAUUUCACUCCCCAGCACGUCUCCUUCCUGGCUUUCCCAUGACGUUUUCUGGACUGGCUUCCUUCUUUCCUCAACCCUAUGACAUGAGGUUACAUCCCCCGUGGUAGCUUUGGGCCCACCUUCAUGGGAUCUUUGGUUCUCUAUUCCCUGGUGUGUGUAGUCUUCAGCUCAGAACACAGAUUCUGUUUUAAAUACUGAAUAGAUGGAUGUAUACCAAGUCCGGUUCGGGGAUAAUACAUCGGAAAUCAUUCUGUAAAAGAGAAUCUGGACCCACAAGACAUUCCCUUUUCAUCACAUGAUAAAUGAUCUAGUUUCUCCAGAAAUAUCAUCCCUUGGAAUGAACAGGAUGAGGGAACAGAAGGCAAGCUGAGGACAAAGCAGAAACAGACACCCCACAAACACCCCCCCCCAC
Ailuropoda melanoleuca (giant panda) is the source of this 827-nucleotide long non-coding RNA. RefSeq lists it as uncharacterized. The transcript is spliced from 2 exons. The record is from RefSeq and is a predicted model, not a curated record. Lineage: Eukaryota; Metazoa; Chordata; Mammalia; Carnivora; Ursidae.